Molecule: ribosomal RNA, 483 nt
Filed under: uncultured bacterium
Lineage: Bacteria
Description: partial 16S ribosomal RNA
Rfam family: Bacterial small subunit ribosomal RNA
Source: RNAcentral
GAUGAACGCUGGCGGCGUGCCUAACACAUGCAAGUCGAACGGAGUCGUUUUGGAAAUCUCUUCGGAGAUGGAAUUCUCGACUUAGUGGCGGACGGGUGAGUAACGCGUGAGCAAUCUGCCUUUAAGAGGGGGAUAACAGUCGGAAACGGCUGCUAAUACCGCAUAAAGCAUUAAAUUCGCAUGUUUUUGAUGCCAAAGGAGCAAUCCGCUUUUAGAUGAGCUCGCGUCUGAUUAGCUAGUUGGCGGGGUAACGGCCCACCAAGGCGACGAUCAGUAGCCGGACUGAGAUGUUGAACGGCCACAUUGGGACUGAGACACCGCCCAGACUCCUACGGGAGGCAGCAGUGGGGAAUAUUGCGCAAUUGGGGAAACCCCGACGCAGCAACGCCGCGUGAUUGAAGAAGGCCUUCGGGUUGUAAAGAUCUUUAAUCAGGGACGAAACAAAUGACGGUACCUGAAGAAUAAGCUCCGGCUAACUACGUG